GACGAACGCUGGCGGCGUGCCUAAUACAUGCAAGUUGAGCGCUGAAGGUUGGUACUUGUACCAACUGGAUGAGCAGCGAACGGGUGAGUAACGCGUGGGGAAUCUGCCUUUGAGCGGGGGACAACAUUUGGAAACGAAUGCUAAUACCGCAUAAAAACUUUAAACACAAGUUUUAAGUUUGAAAGAUGCAAUUGCAUCACUCAAAGAUGAUCCCGCGUUGUAUUAGCUAGUUGGUGAGGUAAAGGCUCACCAAGGCGAUGAUACAUAGCCGACCUGAGAGGGUGAUCGGCCACAUUGGGAGUGAGACACGGCCCAAACUCCUACGGGAGGCAGCAGUAGGGAAUCUUCGGCAAUGGACGAAAGUCUGACCGAGAAACGCCGCGUGAGUGAAGAAGGUUUUCGGAUCGUAAAACUCGGUUGGUAGAGAAGAACGUUGGUGAGAGUGGAAAGCUCAUCAAGUGACGGUAACUACCCAGAAAGGGACGGCUAACUACGUG
RNAcentral lists this ribosomal RNA (497 nucleotides) under uncultured bacterium. Its description in RNAcentral is "partial 16S ribosomal RNA". It matches the Rfam family "Bacterial small subunit ribosomal RNA", at positions 28 to 507 of the family's 1533-position model. The record is from RNAcentral.